This 937-nucleotide ribosomal RNA is filed under the name Pseudomonas avellanae. RNAcentral describes it as "bacterial SSU rRNA". It matches the Rfam family "Bacterial small subunit ribosomal RNA". The record is from RNAcentral. Lineage: Bacteria; Pseudomonadati; Pseudomonadota; Gammaproteobacteria; Pseudomonadales; Pseudomonadaceae.
GGAAAUUUUUUCGGGCUUUUUCCUAGAUUUUUUUUGUUAAAUAUAUAGAGAUUUGCCCUUUCGCUCAGAUUGAACGCUGGCGGCAGGCCUAACACAUGCAAGUCGAGCGGCAGCACGGGUACUUGUACCUGGUGGCGAGCGGCGGACGGGUGAGUAAUGCCUAGGAAUCUGCCUGGUAGUGGGGGAUAACGCUCGGAAACGGACGCUAAUACCGCAUACGUCCUACGGGAGAAAGCAGGGGACCUUCGGGCCUUGCGCUAUCAGAUGAGCCUAGGUCGGAUUAGCUAGUUGGUGAGGUAAUGGCUCACCAAGGCGACGAUCCGUAACUGGUCUGAGAGGAUGAUCAGUCACACUGGAACUGAGACACGGUCCAGACUCCUACGGGAGGCAGCAGUGGGGAAUAUUGGACAAUGGGCGAAAGCCUGAUCCAGCCAUGCCGCGUGUGUGAAGAAGGUCUUCGGAUUGUAAAGCACUUUAAGUUGGGAGGAAGGGCAGUUACCUAAUACGUAAUUGUUUUGACGUUACCGACAGAAUAAGCACCGGCUAACUCUGUGCCAGCAGCCGCGGUAAUACAGAGGGUGCAAGCGUUAAUCGGAAUUACUGGGCGUAAAGCGCGCGUAGGUGGUUCGUUAAGUUGGAUGUGAAAUCCCCGGGCUCAACCUGGGAACUGCAUUCAAAACUGACGAGCUAGAGUAUGGUAGAGGGUGGUGGAAUUUCCUGUGUAGCGGUGAAAUGCGUAGAUAUAGGAAGGAACACCAGUGGCGAAGGCGACCACCUGGACUGAUACUGACACUGAGGUGCGAAAGCGUGGGGAGCAAACAGGAUUAGAUACCCUGGUAGUCCACGCCGUAAACGAUGUCAACUAGCCGUUGGGAGCCUUGAGCUCUUAGUGGCGCAGCUAACGCAUUAAGUGACCGCCUGGAGACGCCCACUUUGU